CUGAGGAUUAUUAAAAAAAAAAAAAAGUCUCCAGUGAUUUCCUUCAUUUCAUUCCCGUCUGCCUCUCCACCUGAAAUUGGGAACCCUAGAAUCACACCUCCGUCAACCUCCGACUGGGGCCACUAUCCUUCUCAACCUUCGACCGACGAUUUUAAAUGUGGCCAGAUUUGCAAUCAUCGAAAGCACAGUGAAAUCGGGUCCUUCAUCUUCACCACCGUCCACAAACGCCGCAUUCUUGGUCGACUCAGUCCACAACAGCUAGGUAUCUUCACCUUCGUCCACGAACGCCAACUGAUUUCCACCGUCGACAAUUAACUCAGUCCACAGCAACAAUAUUCUUUGUCAAACGUUGUGAAAAAGGAAGUUUAGAAAAUUGUGAAAAAUGGUGAAAAAGGUUUUGAAGAACGAUUUGAAGCUUGUUCAGUAUGCAACUGUUGUGAGAAUCAAACAAAUUCCCUAUUCUCUGUAAAUUGUGAAACUUGUGAAAAACGUUUUGAAGUUUGUUCAAUAUGUAAUUGCUGUGAGAAACUAGUGUAAUUCCCUUUUCUCUGUAAAUUGUUGGGAGAAACAAGUGUAAUCUUCUUGCUGUAUUUUAUUAUUUUUUUGCUAUAUCUCUCAAAUUGUGGAGUCCAGUCAACCAACCAUUUUAACACUUGUAAAUGGAUACUACAAUUUUGGGAGUCCAGUAAACUAUUUUGACACUAGUAAAUGGAUACUGCAAUUUUGGUUGCUAUUAGUUUUCUGUUGCUUAAAUUGCGUAAAUGGAUACUACAAUUUUUUUUUUUUUUUUUUUUUGACUGGGGAUGCCUACACAUUGUGCUCCAAAGUUGCAAAAGAAAAAUCGAAGAAAAAAGCUAGAGAAGAAAGUGGACUCGGCAAUUUCCAUAUGUGGGUAAGACAACUCUUGAGUGGACUGAAGAAGAGAGUGAAGCUACUCGAUUGGAAAAGGAAAUCAGCUCCUCCAAGAGAGUGGUUGGAGAAGAGAAUGCCGAUCGCUCAAAUAGCCAAUGCUCAGCUCCGGUGCUCGUGAGGUUGGAGAUGAAGUGGAGUAGCUAAUUUCCCCACUUCAAUUUUCAAUUUUAUCGCAUCCAGUUUCGGGGAUAAUGAAGUCGGCUUUGGCGGGUUAUGAGGUAAAACAUAGAGGAUUUCCCUCUUUUUUUCUCCAGCCACGUCACUAUUUUUACAAAUUCUGUAAGCAUUCUGUGAGAUUCAAUCUGUACAUCUAGCUUUAUUGAUGGGCGGAACUCGAAACCAGAUUCCAACUGAGCAACCGAACUACCAUUUUUCGUCUAAAAAGAGAUCUUGCAACCUAUCAGUGACAGAUUACUACGGCAAACUGAAGGCUCUCUUAGAAGAACUUUCUCUCUUCAAUCGGCCACUCCAUGCUCCUGCGGUGCUGCCAAAAAAUUCUCAGAACUCCAGUCCUCUAAUCAAGUGUACCAGUUUUAAUGGGUCUCAAUGAAUCUUAUCAUCAAUUGAGAUCCUAGAUUUUGGCCGUGGAUCCGUUGCCGUCGUUAACCCGUUGUUAUGCUAUCAUUCACCAAGAGGAGACCCAGAGCCUGUUAAAUGUGUCUCCUUCCCGAUCUGUUGCUGCAGCUUUUCUUUCCAAAGCACUGAGUCAACCUCCUACAUCUCAGCCCCAUCCUAAGAAGGUUUGGCCUCCUGAUAGUCCCUUAUGCUCUGAGUGUGGAAAAAUCAGUCACCCCCGUUCCAAAUGCUUCGAAGACAUUGAGUAUCCUGACUAGUGACCGAAUAAGCAAAAGAAACCAAAUUCGACUUCGGCAGUAAACAGUCCCAACUCUUCCUGCCUAUAUAACCAAUUAAUGGAACUUCUGCAGCCGACGUCCCUUGCUUUCUCAGGUUUAUCCCAUUCUCCCUCUUCCAAUUUACCAUUCUGCCCUUGGAUAAUAGACAAUGGUGCUACGCACCAUAUUUCUGCCUCUUCCUUCAGUUCUAGCUCUCCAACUAUCACUCACCCUAUUUCUGUCAAUCUUCCUACAGGAACCAGUGUUAAUGUCACUUCAACUGGUGAUAUUAAUCUGUCUCCUUCCCCCACCUUUCAUAAUGCUCUUUGUGCUCGUGAAUUUAAAUUCAAUUUAAUAUCUAUUAGCCAAUUAACUAAAUCUCUAAAUGGUAUCGUUUCUUUUUUCCCUAACUUUUGUGUCUUUCAGGACCUAACGGCAAAGACGCUAAUUGAAGUGGGUGAAGAGCGCGAUGACCUCUACUAUUUUAAACCUGCAAUUGCCUCGUCUUUCCAAACCACUGUAUCUUUUACAGUCUGGCAUAGACGGUUAGGUCAUCCAUCCAUUAAUAAUGUUCCUAGUUUUAUUUCUCGUCCUAAGAUUUUGGAACAUUGUGAUAGUUGUGCUCGUGGAAAGCACACUCGUUUACCUUUUCAAUUGGUUUCAAAUAAAAGUGCCAUGCCUUUUGAACGCAUAUAUUGUGAUAUUUGGAGUGAAUACCAUACUGCCUCUUUAUGCGGUGCACAUUAUUUUUUGACGAUUGUGAACAAAUUUUCUAGAGUUACGUGGUUAUAUCUCAUGCGUUUUAAAUAUGACACAUUAUCUUGUCUCAAAUCUUUUAUUGCCAUGGUACAUAACCAAUUUAAUUCUAAAGUUCAACACAUCCAGACAGACAAUGGUCAAGAAUUUGUUGCACGCUCCGCACAAGAAUUUUUUUCCGAACAUGGCAUUUUGCAUUAGCGUACUUGUGUGGAAACACCUCAACAAAAUGGCGUAGCCGAACGAAAACACCAUCACAUCCUUAAUGUAGCAUGUUGCCUUCGUUUUCAGGCUCAUAUACCUUUAAAGUUUUGGGGUGAAUGUGUACUCACUGCCACUUAUCUCAUCAAUCGUACCCCAUCAUCCUCUCUCCAAAACAAAACCCCUUUUGAACGUCUUUUUAAUCAAAUUCCCCGUUAUGACCAUCUACGAGUAUUUGGUUGUUUAUGUUAUGUUAAAACUCUUGCUGCUCAUCGUGAUAAAUUUCAACCUCGAGCCAACCCAUGUAUUUUUUAGGCUACCUUCCUACCCAUAGUGGUUAUCGCCUUUACAACCUUGAACUACAAAAAAUCGUCAUUUCUUGUGACGUUUCUUUGUAGAACAUAUUUUCCCUUUUCUGUUCCUUACACCACCCACCAAUCCUUCCCUCGUCCUACUACUACCUAUACCCGAAACAUAUCUACACCAUCUCCAAAUAAUCCUUUACCCUCAAACCUCCCAUUACCAUCACAUUCCCAACCACCACCACCUCCUCCUCCUCUCCGUCCUCGUCGUACUAUAAAUCGGCCAUCCCACUUAAGUUAUUAUAUUUGCCCCACCUUACCCAAUCUACCUACUGCGUCCUCUCCACGCCCAAUCACGUCUUCAGGUACGGCUCAUCCUUUAGCUAAUUUUAUUUCUUAUACAAAAUUCUCUCUAUCUCAUUGUGCUUUUUUAUUUGUGCUAUCUAACUCUGUUGAUCCAUCCAGCUACUCUCAAGCUUUGAAGCAUUUACAUUGGCGUGAUGCUAUGUAGACUGAGAUUUAAGCUCUUGAAACUAAUAAAACUUGGAUUCUUACAGCCCUUCCUCCUGGAAAGAAGCCCAUUGAUUGCAAAUGGGUCUUUAAAACUAAACUUCAUGCAGAUGGUUCUAUUGAGCAUCAUAAAACUCGGCUGGUUGCAAAGGGAUACACUCAAGUUGAGGGUCUUGACCAUCACGAGACUUUUGUCCCUGUCGCCAAGCUUGUUACUGUUCGUUGUGUCCUAGCCAGUGUUGCAGCCCGCCAUUGCCAUUUCUAUCAAUUGGAUGUUAAUAAUGCUUUCCUCUAUGGUGACCUUGGUGAAGAAGUAUACAUGACCUUGCCACCUGGGUAUGGCCGUAAGGGGGAUAAGUG
This 3874-nucleotide long non-coding RNA is filed under the name Olea europaea subsp. europaea. The record is from RNAcentral. Lineage: Eukaryota; Viridiplantae; Streptophyta; Magnoliopsida; Lamiales; Oleaceae.